RNAcentral lists this long non-coding RNA (544 nucleotides) under Gossypium barbadense (sea-island cotton). RNAcentral's name for it is "long non-coding RNA (GBAR_LNC012412)". Lineage: Eukaryota; Viridiplantae; Streptophyta; Magnoliopsida; Malvales; Malvaceae. The record is from RNAcentral.
UCUGUGAACCAUGUGAAUCUUUUCAAAUACCUACUUGUGACGAUUAUGUUUACCAUUUGAUUUAUUACUCGCAAUUUAUUCAUGGUUUGUGGGAACAAUGUGAGACGACUGAAUGCCUUAAAACAUGUCCAUCUUUGUUUCAAAUAUUUGACGAGGCAGUGGUGAGUAAAUUAGAUUGUUUGCAUGGUAAUCUGAAUCUGUCCAUUUACAUGCGUUAUACCUGUUCUGUUAUGCUUAUGAUUGGACUACAAGCUUGUUUCCGUUGCUAUUUACUAUCUCAUGGCUAUUCUUUUCAGUGGACUCAAUUGCCAUUAGUCCCGUUCGAUAGAGGAAAGUCGAGUUCAUUUGAUUUUUCAGAUUCGAGGACGAAUCUUUUUGAGGAAGGGGGGAAUGAUACGAGUCACAAAAGCCCAAAUUCUUGAAGGCGAGGCCCAAUAAGCAAAUUCCCAGCCCAAUCAAGAAAUCCAUCCAUACUUAGUUGAAAAUCAGGCCAAAUUGUCAAAGUGGCCCAAGUUAUAAAGUAUUAUUUUUAUUUUUAUUUAUU